CCUUUUAAAGUGAAACUCACCGAUAUUCGUAUGUUUUUAGAGAUAAAUAUUAAAGUAUAUUAAAGUAUAUUAAAGUAUAUUAAAGCCUUUUAAAGUGAAACUCACCGAUAUUCGUAUGUUUUCAGCUUCCUGUUGAAGCUCAGCGGUUCUCCCAGCCACCGGUACGAUCUGCGCACUCUCAGUCUGCUCGAGUACUUCAUCCUCUGCCUGCACGAGCUCGGAUCGAUCGAUAAUCAAUACAGGAAUCAGACUUAAAUCCCGAUCUGAAACCGUUAAUCAAUCAAACACAAACAGUCAGACGGACAAACGAGCCGAGCGACAUUUCCCGCGAAAACCGCUCCCGUUCAACCCCUCCGCCUCUACGUCACAGCAUAUGACUUCCGGCUCUUUUGAAUGGGCGGGAAGGCUGUCAAUCAUUUUCAUCCGGCCAAUCAGAGGCUUACUAUUAAACCUGGAGGUUGCUUUUACGUGAAGCACCUGAAUGCAGCUCAGUUUUAGAAAGGAGUGAUAGAUGAUAAAGAGUUCAACAGAAAUCAAACUGUUGGAGGAAGAGAAGAGACAGAAGCAGCCAGUGAAGAUGUCCCUCAGUUGUCUCCGGGCUUCUGACCCAAACGUCAGCGUUGUGGAUGUUCUGUACUACCAGAACCGGGACCAUGAGAACCUGUAUGAGGGGAGCGGUGCACCUCCACUCUGCUCCUCCUCCCCCCCGCCUCCCCCCUCCGGCUGCAUGGUCUGUUCCAACCGGUCCGUCCUCGUCGUUUGCUCCGAGCUGCAGCAGGAUGAGGAGCUGGUGAUGGAGGGAGCGGGUCGACACAUCGCCAUUACAGCGAGUGGUGGGAGCUUCAUUUAUACAUUAUAUUAUUAUUAUUAUUUUAUUAUUAUAUUAUUAUUUAUACAUUAUAUUAUUAUUAUUAUUAUUAUUUAUAUAUUAUAUUAUUAUAUUAUUAUUAUUAUUAUAUUAUUAUUUAUACAUUAUAUUAUUAUUUUAUUAUUAUUAUUUAUACAUUAUAUUAUUAUUAUUAUUUAUAUAUUAUAUUAUUAUUAUUAUAUUAUUAUAUUAUUAUUUAUACAUUAUAUUAUUAUUAUUAUUUAUAUAUUAUAUUAUUAUAUUAUUAUUUAUACAUUAUUAUUAUUGUUAUUGUUUAUAAAUUAUUAUCAUUAUUUAUUAUGUAUACAUUUUUAUUAUUAUUAUUACUAUUACUGA
Molecule: long non-coding RNA, 1204 nt
Filed under: Dicentrarchus labrax (European seabass)
Lineage: Eukaryota; Metazoa; Chordata; Actinopteri; Moronidae
Description: lncRNA (ENSDLAG00005031946.1)
Source: RNAcentral